RNAcentral lists this ribosomal RNA (327 nucleotides) under uncultured bacterium. RNAcentral describes it as "bacterial SSU rRNA". It matches the Rfam family "Bacterial small subunit ribosomal RNA", at positions 28 to 334 of the family's 1533-position model. The record is from RNAcentral.
GAUGAACGCUGGCGGCGUGCUUAAUACAUGCAAGUCGAGCGAAGCACUUUAACGGAAUUCUCCGGAAGGAAGGUAAAGUGACUGAGCGGGCGACGGGUGAAGGUAACGCGUGGGUAACCUGCCUUAUACAGGGGGAUAACAGUUAGAAAUGGCUGCUAAUACCGCAUAAGCGCACAGGGCCGCAUGGCCCGGUGUGAAAAACUCCGGUGGUAUAAGAUGGACCCGCGUCUGAUUAGCUGGUUGGUGGGGGUAACGGCCCACCAAGGCGACGAUGCGUAGCCGGCCUGAGAGGGCGGACGGCCACACUGGGACUGAGACACGGCCCAG